CUACAUAGUUAGGGCAUUGCAUCAACUUAACAUUAAAGCAUAACCACACCUCAUAUAAGUUCUCACCACUAAAUUAAUGAACAUUUGUGAUUUUAUCUCUUAGUUG
Capsicum annuum is the source of this 106-nucleotide non-coding RNA. The record is from Rfam. NCBI's taxonomy places the organism in Eukaryota, Viridiplantae, Streptophyta, Magnoliopsida, Solanales, Solanaceae.